CAGCAGCCACGGGAAUACGGAGGGUGCAAGCGUUGUCCGGAUUUAUUGGGUUUAAAGGGUGCGCAGGCGGGGGGGUCAGUCCGCGGUGAAAGACGAUCGCUCAACGAUUGCAGUGCCGUGGAUACUGCCCUUCUUGAAUCUGGUUGAGGCCGGUGGAAUUGACCGUGUAGCGGUGAAAUGCGUUGAGAUCGGAAAGAACACCAACGGCGAAAGCACUCUGCUGGGCCGACACUGACACUGAGAGACGAAAGCUAGGGGAGCAAAUGGGAUUAGAUACCCGAGUAGUCCCUGUCUCUUAUAC
This 301-nucleotide ribosomal RNA is filed under the name uncultured bacterium. RNAcentral describes it as "partial 16S ribosomal RNA". It matches the Rfam family "Bacterial small subunit ribosomal RNA", at positions 509 to 807 of the family's 1533-position model. The record is from RNAcentral.